Molecule: ribosomal RNA, 374 nt
Filed under: Thraustochytrium sp.
Lineage: Eukaryota; Bigyra; Thraustochytrida; Thraustochytriidae
Description: partial small subunit ribosomal RNA
Rfam family: Eukaryotic small subunit ribosomal RNA
Source: RNAcentral
AUUCCAGCUCCAGAAGCGUAUGCUAAUGUUGUUGCAGUUAAAAAGCUCGUAGUUGAAUCUCUGGUUUGCCUGACCGAGCCUUUGGAUGAAUGUCCACUGUUUGCUUGUUUUGUCGGGCGCGCCAUCUUGGCAAUGCUUUAGGGUGUUGCCUCGUUCACUGUAAAGAAAGCAGAGUGUUCAAAGCAGGUCGUAGAUCUGAAUGUUUAUUAUGGGAUGAUAAGAUAGGGCUUGUGCGCUAUUUUGUUGGUUUGCACGCGCAAGUAAUGAUUGAUGGGAACAGUUGGGGCUAUUCGUAUUUGGCAGCUAGAGGUGAAAUUCUUGGAUUUGCAAAAGACGGACUACGGCGAAGGCAUUUAGCAAAGAUGUUUUCAUUA